GACGAACGCUGGCGGCGUGCCUAAUACAUGCAAGUAGAACGCUGAAGGAGGAGCUUGCUUCUCUGGAUGAGUUGCGAACGGGUGAGUAACGCGUAGGUAACCUGCCUGGUAGCGGGGGAUAACUAUUGGAAACGAUAGCUAAUACCGCAUAAUAGCAGUUGUUGCAUGACAACUGUUUGAAAGGUGCAAUUGCACCACUACCAGAUGGACCUGCGUUGUAUUAGCUAGUUGGUGGGGUAACGGCUCACCAAGGCGACGAUACAUAGCCGACCUGAGAGGGUGAUCGGCCACACUGGGACUGAGACACGGCCCAGACUCCUACGGGAGGCAGCAGUAGGGAAUCUUCGGCAAUGGACGGAAGGCUGACCGAGCAACGCCGCGUGAGUGAAGAAGGGUUUCGGAUCGUAAAGCUCGGUUGUAAGAGAAGAACGAGUGUGAGAGUGGAAAGUUCACACUGUGACGGUAUCUUACCAGAAAGGGACGGCUAACUACGUG
This 495-nucleotide ribosomal RNA is filed under the name uncultured bacterium. RNAcentral describes it as "partial 16S ribosomal RNA". It matches the Rfam family "Bacterial small subunit ribosomal RNA", at positions 28 to 507 of the family's 1533-position model. The record is from RNAcentral.